RNAcentral lists this ribosomal RNA (155 nucleotides) under Begonia formosana. RNAcentral describes it as "5.8S ribosomal RNA". It matches the Rfam family "5.8S ribosomal RNA". Rfam says of the family: 5.8S ribosomal RNA (5.8S rRNA) is a component of the large subunit of the eukaryotic ribosome. It is transcribed by RNA polymerase I as part of the 45S precursor that also contains 18S and 28S rRNA. The record is from RNAcentral. Lineage: Eukaryota; Viridiplantae; Streptophyta; Magnoliopsida; Cucurbitales; Begoniaceae.
CUCAAUAAUGGAUAUCUCAGCUCUCGCAUCGAUGAAGAACGUAGUGAAAUGCGAUACAUGGUGUUAAUUGCAGAAUCCCAUGAACCAUCCGAGUUUUUGAACGCAAGUUACGCCCGAAGCCUUCUGGCUGAGGGAACUUCUUCCUGGGCAUCACG